CCGACCUUAGCUCAGUUGGUAGAGCGGAGGACUGUAGUAGGCAACACCUGACUGAAAUCCUUAGGUCGCUGGUUCGAAUCCGGCAGGUCGGA
This 92-nucleotide transfer RNA is filed under the name Helianthus annuus (common sunflower). It matches the Rfam family "tRNA". From Rfam's summary of the family: Transfer RNA (tRNA) molecules are approximately 80 nucleotides in length. Their secondary structure includes four short double-helical elements and three loops (D, anti-codon, and T loops). Further hydrogen bonds mediate the characteristic L-shaped molecular structure. tRNAs have two regions of fundamental functional importance: the anti-codon, which is responsible for specific mRNA codon recognition, and the 3' end, to which the tRNAs corresponding amino acid is attached (by aminoacyl-tRNA synthetases). tRNAs cope with the degeneracy of the genetic code in two manners: having more than one tRNA (with a specific anti-codon) for a particular amino acid; and 'wobble' base-pairing, i.e. permitting non-standard base-pairing at the 3rd anti-codon position. Lineage: Eukaryota; Viridiplantae; Streptophyta; Magnoliopsida; Asterales; Asteraceae. The record is from Rfam by way of RNAcentral.